CAAAUUGGGUUUCGUAGGUGACCUGCGGAAGGAUCAUUACAAAUAUCUGGGAUGGCCAAUUGGACUCCCAAGUAAAUAUACCCAUGUGUACUCUUCCAUGUUGCUUUCCCAGACCAGUGGCCAAUGCUGCCAGCCUAUCCCUUCAUGGGAUUCUGGGUUGAGGUGUCUGGGAAAGGGCUCAAUAAUAACCUUUUGAACAAAUUAGUUGUCUGAAGAGGCCAUGUGCCGCAAUCUUUAUAAUAUAUUAAAACUUUCAACAACGGAUCUCUUGGCUCUCGCAUCGAUGAAGAAUGCAGCGAAAUGCGAUAAGUAAUGUGAAUUGCAGAAUUCAGUGAAUCAUCGAAUCUUUGAACGCACAUUGCGCCCUUUGGUAUUCCUUAGGGCAUGCCUGUUCGAGCGUCACUAAAAAUCAUCUCACAGAUAGUGUGGUAUUGGCAGAAGUAGGUAGUACUAGUAGUGCUUUGUCUUACUCUACCAAAAUGAAUGGGCCAGAAAAGUGAAUCAUGGUAACAGACUCUCAGAGUGUUUUAAAAUGCUAUACUAGUCUAAACCAGAUUGGAACCUGAGCCUGUUGACCUCCAUAAAGUUCAAACCAGAGUGAUUGACCUCGGAUCAGGUAGGGAUACCCGCUGAACUUAAGCAUAUCAAUAAGCCGGAGGAA
This 661-nucleotide ribosomal RNA is filed under the name Tuber shii. RNAcentral describes it as "eukaryotic LSU rRNA". The stretch from base 249 to 402 matches the Rfam family "5.8S ribosomal RNA". Lineage: Eukaryota; Fungi; Ascomycota; Pezizomycetes; Pezizales; Tuberaceae. The record is from RNAcentral.